CUACGGGAUGCAGCAGUGAGGGAUAUUGCACAAUGGGGGGAACCCUGAUGCAGCAACGCCGCGUGGAGGAUGACGCAUUUCGGUGUGUAAACUCCUUUUAUAUGUCAAGAAAAUGACGGUAGCAUAUGAAUAAGCACCGGCUAACUCCGUGCCAGCAGCCGCGGUAAUACGGAGGGUGCAAGCGUUACUCGGAAUCACUGGCGUAAAGGACGCGUAGGCGGGUUGGAAAGUCAGGUGUGAAAUCCUACAGCUUAACUGUAGAACUGCACUUGAAACUUCUAAUCUAGAGUAUGGGAGGGGGAGAUGGAAUUAGUGGUGUAGGGGUAAAAUCCGUAGAUAUCACUAGGAAUACCUAAAGCGAAGGCGAUCUCCUGGAACAUUACUGACGCUAAGGCGUGAAAGCGUGGGGAGCAAACAGGAUUAGAUACCCGAGUAGUC
RNAcentral lists this ribosomal RNA (438 nucleotides) under uncultured bacterium. Its description in RNAcentral is "partial 16S ribosomal RNA". It matches the Rfam family "Bacterial small subunit ribosomal RNA", at positions 339 to 795 of the family's 1533-position model. The record is from RNAcentral.